GGUUGAGAUACUAAAAUGUACGUCAUGUAUAUAACAUCACGUAGAUGGCGUUUCUGCGACUUCUCCCUGGGUCGGUGGAGUUCAGUUUAGCCGCUGUUUCCCGAGGCUGAGGAGGUCAACUUUGUGACAGCUAUGUUUUUCUGCUCUCAACAUGGCGCAGAGAGAUGCCCUGACUGAAAAGGACAAGCAGUGUUCUUGGUCCUUUCUGUCGCCCUCCCAAUUUGAAUUCCCAUCUGUUUUGGAAGACAGAAGACAAUUAAGAAAAAAAUGAACCAAAUCCAUACAUCUCAGAGAACAGACUCAACAUUCGACCAGAGGGGCUAGAAUAAACUUUGGAGUGACUGACUGCCUCCCUGUACAAUCAGCUGAUGAAAGAUGAGAUAGAAGACAGAUCUUUAGGAUUCUAACUCAACGGUCUUCUCAGAUUGCUCCUCUCUGAACCAAACAUAGCUUGAAGAUUCAAUUUCUAGAAAAAGAAAAAUGAAAAAACAACAGAGAGUGCAGGAUUCACCUUCUGUCUAUGCAUGUGCUACGCAGAGUCACCUGCAAGAUGACCAGCCUUACAGAAAUAUGACUAGGGGAAAUGACUGUAACUUAAGGAUACUCUGCUCUGUGCAGCAGCCAGCAAGGUGCAUCUUCACUUUCUUUGACCUCACUGUGGUAUCCUUUCCUUCUGGAUGUGGGCUUCCUAAUUCGGCCUCAAGCUCCCCAACGGGCAAUAUUCACGUCUCCACUACCAUACUAAAACCUCAACGUAUGCCAACGCGUGGGAAGGUUCCCAGGAACAUUUAGUUGUGGUCCACGUGAUGACACAUGCAGUUAACCACAGGACUGGAAGGCCAGCCUGGUCCAGCGUCCAGAGUGCCAGGCUUGCUGGGCAUACGGAGAGAACCAAAGCAGGCCAAUUCCGAUAUAGCAAAGAGGCUUACUCGCUAACCGGUUAGAGUGAUACGGCUCCUUCCGGACAAUGGAGUUGGCUCUUAAAAGAGCCGUUUGUUUUACAGUUUGUGUG
Molecule: long non-coding RNA, 1012 nt
Organism: Nannospalax galili (Upper Galilee mountains blind mole rat)
Lineage: Eukaryota; Metazoa; Chordata; Mammalia; Rodentia; Spalacidae
Exons: 4
Source: RefSeq, a predicted model, not a curated record